GACGAACGCUGGCGGCGUGCUUAACACAUGCAAGUCGAACGGAAAGGCCCUGCUUGCAGGGUACUCGAGUGGCGAACGGGUGAGUAACACGUGGGUGAUCUGCCCUGCACUUCGGGAUAAGCCUGGGAAACUGGGUCUAAUACCGGAUAGGAGCCAUUUUUAGUGUGAUGGUUGGAAAGUUUUUUCGGUGUAGGAUGAGCUCGCGGCCUAUCAGCUUGUUGGUGGGGUAAUGGCCUACCAAGGCGGCGACGGGUAGCCGGCCUGAGAGGGUGGACGGCCACAUUGGGACUGAGAUACGGCCCAGACUCCUACGGGAGGCAGCAGUGGGGAAGAUUGCACAAUGGGCGCAAGCCUGAUGCAGCGACGCCGCGGGGGGGAUGACGGCCUUCGGGUUGUAAACGCCUUUCGCUAGGGACGAAGCUUUUUGUGACGGUACCUAGAUAAGAAGCACCGGCUAACUACGUG
Molecule: ribosomal RNA, 465 nt
Filed under: uncultured bacterium
Lineage: Bacteria
Description: partial 16S ribosomal RNA
Rfam family: Bacterial small subunit ribosomal RNA
Source: RNAcentral